CGGCUGCGUCAGGAAGCGCCGCAGGUCGAAGGAGCCGCCUGCCUUGGCCGCGCCGUAGGCCCCGCUCUCCAUGUCGCCGUCGCCGUCGCCGCCGCCGCCGCCACCGCCGCCGCCGCCGCCGCGGAACGCUGAGGAACCUGCCCGGCGCCCCGCCCCGCUCCACCCGCCGGGGGCGUGGCCAGGCACCGCUAGGGACCGAGGGCAAAGUGCGGCCCUCGCGAGCGGCGGCGGGCCGCGGGACUGCGCUUCUAGCGGCUGGGAGGGGCUCUGGCCGCGGAGCACCGGUGUCCACCCUACCUCGGGGUCGAGGGGCUAGUUCCCGGGCCACGCCGGCCACAGCACGGACCAGAAAGGAAGGAAAAACUGAGGCUCAGCGAAGGGACAUGGCCCACCCAUGAGUCUGGCCUCUGGAAAGGACGGACUUGGCAGAAGUGAGAUGGGAGAGUGCCAAGGACAGAGUCCUGGCAGAGCCACGUAAGUGCCUGGGCCACGGCAGAGGAUGAGAACCAGGACACAGCAGUGUCUCCCAAACAAAGAGAGGCUUUCAUGGAGAAAUCUUCGACUUGAAGAAAGCGAAGGUGUAUUUGGAGGUGAAGGCACCCUCUGGGGCAUCCUCUUACAGAUGUCUCUGCUGAUUGGUCAAUUUGACCCUCAGGGCCAGAGGCCUUCUCUUCGUGGUCCAAAAACCAUCGCGGGGCCAGAAGCCAGCCUCAUGUGGGGAAGUGGGAGUCCAGGGCUGACAUGUCAUCACCCUUUCUUUUUGCUCCCUUUGUGAAGGGAAAUGAUCUUGACCUAUAAAAGUGGAAAGAAAAAAGCUA
Macaca mulatta (Rhesus monkey) is the source of this 818-nucleotide non-coding RNA. NCBI's taxonomy places the organism in Eukaryota, Metazoa, Chordata, Mammalia, Primates, Cercopithecidae. The record is from RefSeq and is a predicted model, not a curated record.